Molecule: transfer RNA, 71 nt
Filed under: Stegodyphus mimosarum
Lineage: Eukaryota; Metazoa; Arthropoda; Arachnida; Araneae; Eresidae
Rfam family: tRNA
About the family: Transfer RNA (tRNA) molecules are approximately 80 nucleotides in length. Their secondary structure includes four short double-helical elements and three loops (D, anti-codon, and T loops).
Source: Rfam by way of RNAcentral
GCCUUCGUGGUGUAGUGGUCAGCACGCUGGGCGCGUUCCAAAGGUCCGUGGUUCGAGUCCCGGCGAAGGCG